UGAGGUUGUGCGAAACCACACCCCUCUGUUCACUAUUGUGCACUAUGCUGGGAAGGUGAGUGUGCACAAGCAUCGUCAUCACUGUUACCUAACAAUUCACUUGAUCAGUGACUUCAUUCAGAUCUACAGUGAAAUUGUUGUGCUGGUUAAUAAUUAAAUGAUUAUGCUUUUUUUUCCCAGAGGGGACUCAUUAAAAGGGUGUUUUUCUUCAUAAUGUGUGCAUUAUUCCUGCAUGAAGUGUCUUUUUGUGAUCUGUUCAGGUGCAAUACAAUGCAAGUGGAUUUCUUGAGAAAAACAGAGACACAAUACCAGCAAACAUUCGCGAGCUCUUCAUCAACAGUGUCACUCCUCUCCUCAGCGUUCUGUUCGCAGCCACAAUUUCCCGAACAGGCACACUAAUGCCGAGAAAAGCCAAGGUACUGUACAUCUAAGAUUUUUUUUUUUUUGACAUACCAGUUAACUUUAUUAGAGUCUGUUAAAACACAUGAUGUGAUAUUUCCCAGAUACCUUGAUAGGCUGGUGUUUGAACAUAUUUAUAGCUGUAUAGAUGACAAAUUACUCUCUUAACUGUGAUUAAUUCAUGCAGCGUUUCACCACAUGAUCAUGUGUGCAUUUUAAUUCUAGUUACAAGUUGCAGAUGACAACUUUAACUCAACCAGGAAGCAGUCCGUCGGCGCACAAUUCAAGGUAAAUCUUUUAUAGUUAUGUUUUAUGUGUCGGUUUAUUUAAU
This is a long non-coding RNA of Cyprinus carpio (common carp), 730 nucleotides long. Lineage: Eukaryota; Metazoa; Chordata; Actinopteri; Cypriniformes; Cyprinidae. The record is from Ensembl.